CCUUUCUGCUUUGUCAUCCGGAUCCAGUUCCACGCUUCACCUUUGGUUUUGAAGACUGGGAGACUUAAAGGAAUCUUUGACUUUGGGUACUCUCUACAGACUUGGCUCAUAGUCAGCUUCAGGCUCCUCCUGUGUAUAGUACCUCUGAGCACAAUACAUUGUCCCUUUUAGUUUCAGCUCCCAAGAGCCAAACUUGCCAUUAGCAUCCAGGCAGGGCCCACUUGGUUCCUCACUGAGGAGUGUUAGGCAACUACGGAGCUGGUAGGUUUGUCUUUUUGUUCCAGGUACAGAGUUGUUUAUCUGUCUAGAAAAGGCCAGGCAUUGGUCUUUUUGACGUGAAAAAAGUUCAAGCCAGAAAACGGGCAAGCUGCUGUGAGCAUGUAACAUCUGUGAUGUCACAAACGUCUGUUUACAGACAGAGAAUGUGGACUCAUUUUCUAAGCCCUUGAAGUGUCUAGGACAGCAGGCUGCAUGGCAAAGCAGGGAGAUACAUCUGCUGAAUUGAAUUCAGUAUACUCAAAAUUCAGAUAUUCCAUUUUGCCAAGAGAUGGCGGAUGUGAGCAUAUCUCUUCAGUUCAGACCAUAUUUACAUCGUUUAGCUAUGACAUGGGCCUGGAGUUUUCUCUGCUCAAUUCAGGCAUAACAAUCAGCUAGAUUGAAACUCAUUGUUUGCAUGCCAUUCAGAGAGGAUAAGUAGUUAAGAAGACCCUACACUGACAUCUGUCAAGGGUAUGCCAUUUCACCAUGUGACACAUAGAGUAAGCCCAUGGCAGUUUGAAAGGCAGAUGCAAUGUUCUCUGCUCUGCGAUCCCUGCUGUCAAGAGUCUGCUGUAUAAGAAAUCUGAAGUACAAUGAGGUUGAGAGACUUGCUCAAGUCCACACAUGCGUUAUGUGAUAGAGGCAGGAUUUGAAUCCAGGCAGUCUGUCUGCAGAGGCCCCAUUCAACAUCAUAGCCACGUGUUGUAUAGGGCAUUUUGAUGAGUGAAAAAGAGAAGAUGCUAUUUUGCUGCACUUAUUCACAUACACCGUGCAUCGCCAGCUUCCAGCACUGGAAAACUGCAGGCUCUUCCUCAAACCCACUACAGCAUAAUCCCCUGAUAGGCGUGGAACAGAGCUAAAAAUUUGUCAAUCUGAAAGGUAUAUUUUUAAAAAAUCAUG
RNAcentral lists this long non-coding RNA (1158 nucleotides) under Equus asinus (donkey). Its description in RNAcentral is "lncRNA (ENSEASG00005029200.1)". The record is from RNAcentral. Lineage: Eukaryota; Metazoa; Chordata; Mammalia; Perissodactyla; Equidae.